GAUGAACGCUGGCGGCGUGCCUAAUACAUGCAAGUCGAGCGAACGGACGAGAAGCUUGCUUCUCUGAUGUUAGCGGCGGACGGGUGAGUAACACGUGGAUAACCUACCUAUAAGACUGGGAUAACUUCGGGAAACCGUAUCUAAUACCGGAUAAUAUUUUGAACCGCAUGGUUCAAAAGUGAAAGACGGUCUUGCUGUCACUUAUAGCUGGAUCCGCGCUGCAUUAGCUAGUUGGUAAGGUAACGGCUUACCAAGGCAACGAUGCAUAGCCGACCUGAGAGGGUGAUCGGCCACACGGGAACUGAGACACGGUCCAGACUCCUACGGGAGGCAGCAGUAGGGAAUCUUACGCAAUGGGCGAAAGCCUGACGGAGCAACGCCGCGUGAGUGAUGAAGGUCUUCGGAUCGUAAAACUCUGUUAUUAGGGAAGAACAGAUGUGUAAGUAACUGUGCACAUCUUGACGGUACCUAAUCAGAAAGCCACGGCUAACUACGUG
RNAcentral lists this ribosomal RNA (497 nucleotides) under uncultured bacterium. Its description in RNAcentral is "partial 16S ribosomal RNA". It matches the Rfam family "Bacterial small subunit ribosomal RNA", at positions 28 to 507 of the family's 1533-position model. The record is from RNAcentral.